CGGAGGGUGCAAGCGUUAUCCGGAUUCACUGGGUUUAAAGGGUGCGUAGGUGGGCAGGUAAGUCCGUGGUGAAAUCUCUGAGCUUAACUCAGAAACUGCCGUGGAUACUAUUUGUCUUGAAUAUUGUGGAGGUAAGCGGAAUAUGUCAUGUAGCGGUGAAAUGCUUAGAUAUGACAUAGAACACCAAUUGCGAAGGCAGCUUACUACACAAUUAUUGACGCUGAGGCACGAAAGCGUGGGGAUCAAACAGGAUUAGAUACCCUGGUAGUCCACGCCCUAAACGAUGAUUACUUGACAUCAGCGAUACACUGUUGGUGUCUGAGCGAAAGCAUUAAGUAAUCCACCUGGGAAGUACGAUCGCAAGAUU
RNAcentral lists this ribosomal RNA (367 nucleotides) under uncultured organism. Its description in RNAcentral is "bacterial SSU rRNA". It matches the Rfam family "Bacterial small subunit ribosomal RNA", at positions 526 to 895 of the family's 1533-position model. The record is from RNAcentral.